CCUACGGGAGGCUGCAGUGGGGAAUUUUUCGCAAUGGGCGCAAGCCUGACGACGCAACGCCGCGUGGGGGAUGACGGUCUUCGGAUUGUAAACCCCUGUCGAGCGGGACGAAUGGCCCGCGACCUAAUACGUCGUGGGAGUGACGGUACCGCUAAAGGAAGCCACGGCUAACUCUGUGCCAGCAGCCGCGGUAAUACAGAGGUGGCAAGCGUUGUUCGGAAUUACUGGGCGUAAAGGGCGCGUAGGCGGCCUUCUAAGUCAGACGUGAAAUCCCCCGGCUCAACCUGGGAACUGCGUCUGAUACUGGGAGGCUCGAGUGCGGGAGAGGGAUGUGGAAUUCCAGGUGUAGCGGUGAAAUGCGUAGAUAUCUGGAGGAACACCGGUGGCGAAGGCGGCAUCCUGGACCGACACUGACGCUGAGGCGCGAAAGCUAGGGUAGCAAACGGGAUUAGAUACCCUAGUAGUC
Molecule: ribosomal RNA, 466 nt
Filed under: uncultured Acidobacteriota bacterium
Lineage: Bacteria; Pseudomonadati; Acidobacteriota
Description: bacterial SSU rRNA
Rfam family: Bacterial small subunit ribosomal RNA
Source: RNAcentral